Long non-coding RNA from Hippopotamus amphibius kiboko, 4205 nucleotides. RefSeq lists it as uncharacterized. Lineage: Eukaryota; Metazoa; Chordata; Mammalia; Artiodactyla; Hippopotamidae. The transcript has 3 exons. The record is from RefSeq and is a predicted model, not a curated record.
CAGAGAACAAGGUCCAUUCCCAGCACGCAGUCUGGCUGCCGGCACUAAGGUGUCUGUUCAGGCAAAGGAAUCAUUGGGGAUAUUGGGGUUUUCUCUUAUCUGCUCCAACCUCCUGCAGCCAUGUGGUCUGGCAGUGACCCCAGUUUGGGGGUGGGGGUGAGCAGGGCCAACUUGUAAGGCACCUGACACAUCUAAGCCAAUUGUGCUGGCCAUGCAGUCCCAGCCCCCUGGCCAGUGUUUGGUUCAGAAGCCCAGGCUUAAGCCAAUUAGGGAUGUCUGCAACCCUGACCACAUUGGGUGGUUCCCAAAUGGGAGCACGACCCAACUGGGCCACAGACGUGAGAAAAGUUUGCCUUGCUCUCUACAGACACAGGAUGCAAUGGUUUUGAAAUGGUGCGUGAUGAUUAGUCAAAUCCAUUCCACCUGCCUCCACUAAUCAAGGUCGUUUUAACACUUGCAUGUCCUCAGAGCAGCACGUAGUCUGAACAAUAAGAUGUUUGCCCAAGUUACUUUCCAGGAACUUGGAGUCUCAGCUGAGCCGGUUAAGGUGGGAUAGGCCCACCCAUCCUCCAGCUGGGCAUGCGCAGGUGUGCGCCCCGUGACCUUUCACAUGUGCAGAAGCCCUGUAGCUUAGUUACGCCUGCGCAGAAGGAUGAUUCCUGCACCUUUUCCCAGUCACCUUUCCUACGUGCCCCACCCUUCAUGCGCCCUGCAGCUUUAUUUGUCAUCCUAUAAAUACCCUGAGCUCCUCCCAUUCUGGGAGGCAGAUUCGAGAUCUGAGAUCGGUUCUUCCGUCUCGUCUCUCCGCCGGAAUAAACCCACUCUGCCCCAAACCUUGGCGUCUCAACGUUUGGCUAGCUGUGCGAAGAACCUGGUUCGGUAACAAGUUUGGCGAGCCAGGCAGGAGGGGAAGUCCAGAUGGACCUUUUGCUCGGGGCUUGUUGGCCAGUUGCUGGUACUGAGAGCCUGUGGACGAGCCCAAGCAGCUGCCGGGUCCGUUUGUUCCAGGACCAUCUCCGAAUUUCCUCUGCCGGGCGCCACCGAGGUUUCAUUUCCCAGCAGACGGUUUGGGUUUGGAAGACGUCUUAUGGGUCUGGUUCUUCUCUACAGCGGUUAGACAAGUACUGAAGUAGCUAGAAUAUAGCCAGCAAGGGCCCAGGUAGAGCAACAAUUCAUCUUGAAUCUUUGUAAGUAUAUAUUUAUUUCCUUUGGUGCCUUGCACAGUAAGGCACUAUUAAUAACAGAAUAGAAAUGGCCACAGCAAAUAGUUCUAGUGACAAUUUACUAGACAAGUUACAGUUUAAUGAUGGUGGUGGUGAUUCUUUCAUUUUAUUAUUUUUUACAAUAAGGGUGUAAUCUUUUUAUACUCCACACACACAAAAUAAAACAAGUGCUUAAGAAAGAGUCCCUGCCCCCACCCCCCAUCUCAAAACAUCUUGAACGUAACUAUUCAAUAGAACAGAAAAAUCGACAUGUUUGAUUUCAAAAUUUCAAUAAAAAAGCAAAGUAUGUAAUGCAACAGCUGUUCAACUUUCAACUCUAAAAUAGGCACCGUUAGACAAACAAAACUCCCAGUAUUUUAAAUGUCUCCAGCACACAUUCCAGUAUAAAUGUUCUGAACUGUAAUCAGCUAGUAAUUAAUAAUGGGAAAUAGAACCUUAGAACAGAAGUUAUAUUGCUUCCCUGCUCCCCUUUCUCUUACAAUUAGAGGGUAGAGGUAUCAAGGGAUACAGAGUCAAAGGAAGAAGGAUUAAAAAGAAAUUCCCAAAGUCGCUGUUGUUUGGAUGAGAAAGGAAGACAGCAUUUUACAAAUGUUCAAAAAAUCCCAAGGCAAGUAACACAAUUUAUUCACUAUCACUCCUACCAGAAAGAAUAAAGACAUCAGCGUCUUAUUAUAUAAAAGUGUACUUUCAGAAGUAUAUUACGAGUUUACCAGAAACUAUGGAUGUAGUUUUAGGCUUCAUCAAAGAAAACAAGUUCAGAUCAAGUUAGAUGCUGUACACCUAGCCUAGCUGGAUCGGUGUCUGGAACUGCUCACUGUGUCACCCCGAACAGCUGUAAACUAAACAAUAGUAUGUAACUCCAGAGGAAGCUUAAGGAUUGAGGAUAUGUACACAGCUAAUUAUAUCUCCCCUGCUUCGCGCUCUUCAGAGCUCCUCCUGUCUUCUGAUCUGCCAUUAGCGCUCUCAUAGGACCGCUUCUUAUCUUUUCGAUCUCUGUCACGAGGUGAUCUGUCUCUUGAAUUCCUGUCUCUGUCACGUGAUGCUAAGUCUUGGUCUCUGAAUCUUUCUUUUGAGGAUCUGAAAAAUAUUAAUUUGAGGAGCAAAAUGUGUUGGGAAACCCAAAAUCCAAAUGAAAGAAUCGGAUAAAUAUUAAGAUACUGAUUAGCUGAAGAUAUAAAGAAAGAAGAGUCAGUUUUCUGACAGAAAAAAGUACUACUAUAUUUGAUAAGGGUACUAAAACAAGGAGAUGGGUGAAAACAAAUAGCUAAGGGUCAAAAACUAUAAGCCAAAAUAAUGAUUUACAGGACAUUCUCAUUAUCUUAGAGGCAACCCUACAGCUUCUCCAGUUUAUAGCAAAUGUAUUUAAUGUAAAAAAAAUAUAUAUAGAUAAUACCUUAAAGAUGUUACCCAAUAUUCUAAAACUAUGUAAUAGAAUGCAGAUUCCAAAUUAGAUGGAAAUCAAUGACUCAGGACAGGGGUCAGGAACCCUUUUUUCUUUGCUGUCUGGCCAGAACUGUAAAUAGUUUAGGUGUUGCAGGUCAUGUGUGUCUGGUAUAUUCUCCCUUUUCUUUUGGUCAACCCCGUAACAAUAUAAAAACCACCAUCCAUAGCUCCCUGGCUGUAUAAAAACAGGCUAUGGGGCCAGAUUUGGCCUGUAAGGCAACAGUUUGCCAACACUCAGCUUACAUAAGAGAACUACUCAAUUUUAAAAUAAUAAAAACUCUGCUUUAUUCCUCCUGAGUUAGCUCAUUCAAGCAACAGAAAAAAACCAGAACAGAAGACAAAGAUGAUCACACUACAACAGAUCUUGAUUAACCAUAACUGUUUCUUAAUACCACCUUUCCAUUCCCAUACCCAACUCAAUAAGAAGGGUAAAUAAUAAGCUCAUACCAGAGAUGCAAUCAAAAGGAAAACCAAAGGACAUUAGGGGAUCAGAAUUAAUAUGGAAUCCUUCUAUACCUUCAACAUCUAGAAUGAAUCAGUAACAUAUUACAUUUAUUUGGUUCUUUACAGGUGACAUGGUGCUUCUACAUAAUUAUCUCACUUAACCCAUGUUCAGAAGCCUGAUUAAGUAAUACUUUCAACUUCUAAGGCAGGGAAAAAACUACUACUAUACCACCCAGUUUUAGAAAUAUAGUUUAAAAGGAUUAAACCAAAAAGGUUGAAAGAUUAAAUGUCAACCUCUAGCAUUCUACUUAAUUAAGGUCUUAAUAAGCUUAAUUUUAAAAUGAUGUGUUAAAUCAUACAGUGUACAUCCUAUCCAUGUCUUUGUAGGAAUGGAAUAAUGAAGAGAGACGACUGAGAUGAUGCCUAAGAACAAGGACACGGGUUGCUGGAAACAUCAGGGACUAGGUCCCAGAAGAGGCGACUUGACUUCAUGCCCACCCCUCCAUCCCACCACCAUUAAUGACAUUUAAGAGUUCAGAGACAUCAGAAACAAUGACAAGUGGCCAAAAGAAAUUCUCUAGACCUUCUAUCAGCCAGCAAAAUGAUUCUUAAAAUUUACAGUACAGGUAAGAUUCAUGGAGAAUUUUUUUUAAAUGUAUUUUUCUGGACAUUGUACUGUGUGCCUAGUUUUUAAGAACGCAAGCUAAACGGCCUAGAAUCACACUGUGAGGAACUCUGUCCCCAGUAAAUUCCCUGUUCAUCCUCUACAUUUGCCUAGAAUAUCUACAAUAUCUUUUUCCUACCUGGUUUUACCUAUUCAGAUCAUAUCCACUCUAUUUAGGUUUUAGGUUACUCCCUGAAGCCUUUUCCUUUCUUUCUUUUUUUUUUUUUACUCUGAAAGUUCCCUCAUCUAAGCUCCUGUAUUAUUUAUUCUGAUAUCCAGUUUAGCACUUUGUUAGGUCCGUCUCAUUAUUGUCAAAGAUGUUAGUCCUGUGUCCCAACUCAAUUGAAUAAAGUUGCUCAACUACAUUAUACUUGUUUUUCUUUUUUUUAAUAGGCCUAGUACAGCAGAAAAUAUACAGUUAUUACUGACAA